AUGGCCACCAUGGACGUCCUCUCCGCCAAGUUCCUCCGCUCCUGCCUCCACCCGCACGCCCCCUUUCUUCCCUGCCCAUCCCUCCCGUCCCGACGCUACCGCCAGCCCUUCUCAAUCUACUGCCGCCUCAGCACCUCCUCCCCCUCGUCCUCCUCCGCCGCCACCACAUCCGAGGGGGACGCAAACCAGGACCUUUCCGCCCUCCUCUCCGAUGAAUCCACCACCGCCGCGCCCGGCGCCGGUUCCAGGACGAAGCGGCCGAACAGCGGCGCGUCGAGCAUCCCGUCCGGGGUGCGGCUGGAGAACAUCUCCAAGUCUUACAAGGGAGUGACAGUCCUGAAGGACGUAUCCUGGGAAGUGCAGCGUGGGGAGAAGGUGGGGCUCGUUGGCGUCAACGGCGCCGGCAAGACCACGCAACUCCGCAUCAUCGCCGGUCUCGAAGAGCCCGACGGCGGCAACGUCGUCAAGGCCAAGGAGAACAUGAAGAUCGCCUUCCUCAGCCAGGAGUUCGAAGUCUGCGCCUCCCGGACCGUCAGGGAGGAGUUUCUCAGCGCCUUCCAGGAGGAGAUGGGCGUCAAGACCCGCCUCGACCAGGUGCAGGCGGCGCUUGAGCGAGCAACCGAGGACAUGGACCUCAUGGGGAGGCUCCUCGACGAGCUCGACCUGCUGCAGCGGCAAUCGCAGGACGUCGACCUGGGCAUGGUGGAUGUCAAGAUUCAGAAGCUCAUGCCCGAGCUCGGGUUUGUGCCGGAGGACGCUGACCGCCUUGUCGCAUCCUUCAGCGGAGGCUGGAAGAUGAGGAUGUCGCUUGGCAAGAUACUUCUUCAGGAUCCUGAUUUGCUUCUACUUGACGAGCCCACAAAUCAUGUCGAUUUGGAUACCAUUGAGUGGCUGGAGAGCUACCUUAAGAUCCAGGAUGUACCAAUGGUCAUCAUAUCUCAUGACAGGGCUUUCCUUGAUCAGUGUUGUACAAAGAUAGUGGAGACUGAAUUUGGGGUGUCGAAAAUGUACAAGGGUAACUAUUCUGAAUAUGUUCUAGCAAAGGCGAUUUGGGUGGAAACUCAACGUGCUGCAUGGGAGAAGCAGCAGAAGGAGAUUGAACAUACAAGGGAACUGAUAAGUCGGCUUGGGGCUGGAGCUAGCUCGGGGCGUGCUUCAAGUGAGCAAAAGAAAUUGGAAAAGCUUGAGAAAGAAGGGUUGAUUGAGAAACCUUUCCAAAGGAAGCAGUUAAAGAUCAGGUUUCCUGAACGUGGGAGAAGCGGUAGAACUGUGUUAGCAAUAAAUAAUCUCAAGUUUGGGUUUGGGGAUAAGAUAUUGUUCAACAAUGCUAAUCUAAUAGUUGAGAGAGGCGAAAAGAUAGCCAUUAUUGGCCCCAAUGGAUGUGGUAAGAGCACAUUACUGAAACUUGCUUUGGGAACGGAGAAGCCACAAGAAGGUGAAGUCAUUCUUGGGGAGCAUAAUGUCCUGCCUAACUACUUCGAGCAGAAUCAGGCAGAAGCUCUUGAUUUAGAGAAGACUGUACUGGACACUGUAGCUGAAGCUGCAGAGGAUUGGAAAAUUGAUGAUAUCAAAGGUCUCCUUGGUCGUUGUAACUUUAGGGAUGACAUGCUGAAUAGAAAGGUUCGGUUUCUAAGUGGUGGAGAGAAGGCGAGGCUUUCCUUUUGCAAGUUCAUGGUGACUCCGUCUACUUUACUAAUCUUGGAUGAACCGACAAAUCACCUCGAUAUUCCAUCAAAGGAAAUGCUUGAGGAGGCAAUAUCAGAAUACACGGGCACUGUAAUUACAGUUUCUCAUGAUCGGUAUUUUGUAAAACAAAUAGUUAACAGAGUCAUUGAAGUGAAAGAUCAAACUAUCCAGGACUAUCAAGGAGAUUACAAUUAUUACCUUGAAAGGAACCUGGAGGCGAGAGAAAGGGAACUUGCACGUGCGGAAGAGCUCGAGGAAAAGGCCCCCAAAGUAAAAGCCAAGUCAAAAAUGUCAAAGGCCGAAAAACUUGCAAGGAAGAAACAGAAAGUGCAGGCCUUCCAACAAAGCAAGCAGAAAUCAAAAUCAAUGAAAAACUCGAAGAGGUGGAACUGA
RNAcentral lists this ribosomal RNA (2079 nucleotides) under Triticum aestivum (bread wheat). RNAcentral describes it as "partial small subunit ribosomal RNA". Lineage: Eukaryota; Viridiplantae; Streptophyta; Magnoliopsida; Poales; Poaceae. The record is from RNAcentral.